RNA transcript from Gossypium raimondii (Peruvian cotton), 906 nucleotides. It is a transcript of the gene named dof zinc finger protein DOF1.7, with no coding region annotated. The transcript has a single exon. The record is from RefSeq and is a predicted model, not a curated record. NCBI's taxonomy places the organism in Eukaryota, Viridiplantae, Streptophyta, Magnoliopsida, Malvales, Malvaceae.
UUUAUGUAUAUAUAUGUAUGUGAGACAUAUAGCUUAGAUUAAAGAUAUAUAGUGUUAUGGGAUUGAGUUCUAAACAGGUUUCUAGCGAUGGUGGUCAUGGUUGGAGCCAAUCUUUGUUGCAGGCUCAAACACUACCAAAAGCUUCAAUAAUGAAGAAGCGACGCACACAAAACCAGCACCAGUAGCCAUUGAAGUGUCCUAGAUGUGAUUCUUUGAACACAAAGUUUUGUUAUUACAAUAACUACAACAAAUCACAGCCUAGACAUUUCUGCAAGGCUUGUAAGAGACAUUGGACUAAAGGUGGCACUCUCCGGAAUGUACCUGUCGGUGGUGGUCGUAAAAACCAGCGGCUGAAGCCUGGCAUCAAAGCUGCCAGCACCGCCAUUAAAACCAGCACUGCCUCUAGUGAUAAACUGAUAAUAGCAAUAGGCUGUUACUUGAUUCCUUGAUGGCAAUCCAAUGGCAGCAACAACAUCCAUUUCCACCAUUGUUGGACCGUAAUAACAUGCUAAUGGGUUCAUCUUCAUCCCUUUUGUUACCUCAAACUCAAGGCCUAGAAUUCCCAUUUUCAAGCUCAAGUUCUAGCUCCAUUUCACCAAGUAACUAUAACUACACUGGAGAAGCAAACAGUAGUCGUUCACAGACAUGGCAAGUGCCUAGUGCAAGCAUGGACAUGGCAAAUUACUGGAACCUGGAUGAUAUUGAUGAACUGGUCUCUACUGAUCUCAACAACAUACCAUGGGUUGAUUCUGAGAUCAAACCAUGAAAAGCAAAUUUUAAUUAUAUAUUCAAUGUUAAUAUGUAGGAGAUCCCUUUUUCUCAUUUACUUUUUUUUUUGGCCCCUUAGAUUGAUUAUUGUUCACAAAGCUGUGAUUUUUCAGAUUCAGCUCUGGGUUUUAGGUGGAC